AACGAACGCUGGCGGCAUGCCUAACACAUGCAAGUCGAACGAACCCUUCGGGGUUAGUGGCGCACGGGUGCGUAACGCGUGGGAACCUGCCCUUAGGUUCGGAAUAACUCAGAGAAAUUUGAGCUAAUACCGGAUAAUGUCUUCGGACCAAAGAUUUAUCGCCUUUGGAUGGGCCCGCGUUGGAUUAGCUAGUUGGUGGGGUAAAGGCCUACCAAGGCGACGAUCCAUAGCUGGUCUGAGAGGAUGAUCAGCUACACUGGGACUGAGACACGGCCCAGACUCCUACGGGAGGCAGCAGUGGGGAAUAUUGGACAAUGGGCGAAAGCCUGAUCCAGCAAUGCCGCGUGAGUGAUGAAGGCCUUAGGGUUGUAAAGCUCUUUUACUGGGGAUGAUAAUGACAGUACCCAGAGAAUAAGCUCCGGCUAACUCCGUGCCAGCAGCCGCGGUAA
Molecule: ribosomal RNA, 449 nt
Filed under: uncultured bacterium
Lineage: Bacteria
Description: bacterial SSU rRNA
Rfam family: Bacterial small subunit ribosomal RNA
Source: RNAcentral